This is a long non-coding RNA of Medicago truncatula (barrel medic), 864 nucleotides long. RefSeq lists it as uncharacterized. The transcript has 2 exons. NCBI's taxonomy places the organism in Eukaryota, Viridiplantae, Streptophyta, Magnoliopsida, Fabales, Fabaceae. The record is from RefSeq and is a predicted model, not a curated record.
UUGCACCAGCUGCCAAAGACCCAAACCACUCUCACUUCACUCAUUUACACAUUUCAACUUCUCUCUAAACUUCUCCCUAAACUAUCCUCUCUUAACUUAGAAAGCCCUUCUUCCUCCACUACCACCACUCUCAUCCAUUCCGGCGGCCGAACCACCACCAAACUCCGCCGCACCACCGCUCAUCCCAUUCCAUCUUCACUUUCGUGACCUACAUCUAUAGAAUACAAUCACGUUUUGAGCUCUCUCUCCAUCUAAAAAAUCUGUUGCAGCAAAUCACCACGGUCUCCAUCCUAUUUCGCCGUUCUCCGCCGUCGUGCAACCACAAAGGGACAUUCAGAAACCUUUAAAGACACUGAAUCUACCACCAAGGAGUUAUGGAGAAUUUUUUUAAAUGGGAGAUGAAUGGAUGAAUGAUUAUCUUGUGACUUAUAUUGAGAGAGAUGUGGCGGACAAGAUUGAUGAUGAGUUGAUUAUUCAACGAUUUCAUAACAUGCAACCGCGUAGGGCAUUUGUAAAGAAUGAAUGGAGUUUUUUGAGUAUAUUUUAAAUUGAAUACAAUGUAUUUUUUUGGAUAUAUAUAUAUAUAUAUAUAUAUAUAUAUAUAUUAUUAUUAUUAUAUUAUUAUAAGUUAAAGUUUAAAAUUUUGAACCUCCUGACCUGGGGUCCUGGAGAUGCCACUGGCUACCAUCAUUCUAUCUUUUAACUUCUCCAAUAAUUGAAGAAGAAUGUAUUCUUAAGAUCAUUCUGAAGGAACAUUAUACUUCAAAAUGGACUAUGAUCUUAAUAAUCCUCUUUAUUCCAAAGGGGCAUUGCUCUUAUGGCCAUUCUUAAUUUCGAAGGGACAUUGUAUUUAUUAUCUAAAAA